Molecule: ribosomal RNA, 377 nt
Filed under: uncultured bacterium
Lineage: Bacteria
Description: bacterial SSU rRNA
Rfam family: Bacterial small subunit ribosomal RNA
Source: RNAcentral
UAAUACGUAGGGUGCGAGCGUUAAUCGGAAUUACUGGGCGUAAAGGGUGCGCAGGCGGUCCCGCAAGUCAGGCGUGAAAUCCCCGGGCUUAACCUGGGAAUGGCACUUGAAACUACGGGACUAGAGUGUGGCAGAGGGAGGUGGAAUUCCACGUGUAGCGGUGAAAUGCGUAGAUAUGUGGAGGAACACCAAUGGCGAAGGCAGCCUCCUGGGUCAACACUGACGCUCAUGCACGAAAGCGUGGGGAGCAAACAGGAUUAGAUACCCUGGUAGUCCACGCCCUAAACGAUGAUGACUAGUUGUUGGAGGAGUUAAAUCCUUUAGUAACGCAGCUAACGCGAGAAGUCAUCCGCCUGGGGAGUACGGUCGCAAGAUUA